ACUCCUACGGGAGGCAGCAGUGAGGAAUAUUGGACAAUGGAGGCAACUCUGAUCCAGCCAUGCCGCGUGCAGGAAGACGGCCCUACGGGUUGUAAACUGCUUUUAUACAGGAAGAACUAUAUCUACGUGUAGAUAUUUGACGGUACUGUACGAAUAAGGAUCGGCUAACUCC
RNAcentral lists this ribosomal RNA (172 nucleotides) under uncultured Bacteroidota bacterium. RNAcentral describes it as "uncultured Bacteroidetes bacterium partial 16S ribosomal RNA". It matches the Rfam family "Bacterial small subunit ribosomal RNA", at positions 335 to 504 of the family's 1533-position model. Lineage: Bacteria; Pseudomonadati; Bacteroidota. The record is from RNAcentral.